GUCUACGGCCAUACCACCCAGAAUGCAUCUAAUCCUGUCUGAUCUCAGAAGCUAAGCAGGGUCGGGACUGGUUAGUACUUGGAUGGGAGAAAUUCUACUCCUAGGCA
This 107-nucleotide ribosomal RNA is filed under the name Heterocephalus glaber (naked mole-rat). The record is from RNAcentral. Lineage: Eukaryota; Metazoa; Chordata; Mammalia; Rodentia; Bathyergidae.